GUUAUUUCUACGCGACUUUCCAAAAAGUCUGCACUUUCUGCCCUGGCAGUGGCGUCUCAUUUUGGCCAAUGGGACAACAUAUUUUACUAUCUGCUCUAAGUAUGCGUGAGUAUGAAUGCUUGCAGAUCGCAAAGUAUUUCAUCUAUAUCCCAAUUCGUGGACGGGCCAAAGAUUUUAGUUGAGCCAAAGGCUUUCAGCAGUUAAUAUCACAAAAUUGUGUCUUUCCCCAGCGAACAAAAAAUCAAGAAAAUUCAAUCAAGAUGAGCGAAGCCCGUAACUUGUUCACCACCUUUGGCAUCCUGGCCAUCCUGCUUUUCUUCCUUUACCUCAUCUAUGCCGUAUUGUAAAAUGUUUCCGGCAAGUAGAAGGUCCUUAGGGCAGGACAGAAGCCAGCAGCCAAAUCAAAGCAAUCAAAAUGAAUGAGGCCAAAAGUUUGUUCACCACCUUCCUCAUCCUGGCCUUCCUGCUGUUCCUGCUCUACGCCUUCUACGAAGCCGCCUUCUAGGCCCAACUCCCCAAUCACCCAUGAUCACCAGUACCACCACCCAUCAAGGAUAGCUUACAUGUUGAAUUUCAAUUCCAAGCCGCCGGCCAUGCCAUCAUCUUGUGGCCCGGUGGAGCUUCUAGGACCCUACGCGUUUAAGAUGUUUAGCAUUUAAUGGAUUUCUACUAGUAACCUAAGCC
This 684-nucleotide small RNA is filed under the name Drosophila yakuba. Its description in RNAcentral is "GE27647". Lineage: Eukaryota; Metazoa; Arthropoda; Insecta; Diptera; Drosophilidae. The record is from RNAcentral.